This 299-nucleotide long non-coding RNA is filed under the name Capsella rubella. Its description in RNAcentral is "long non-coding RNA (CRUB_LNC001386)". Lineage: Eukaryota; Viridiplantae; Streptophyta; Magnoliopsida; Brassicales; Brassicaceae. The record is from RNAcentral.
AAAAUUAUAUUUUAUACUUAAAAUCAAACAUACAUGUUGAAAGUCACAUAGUAAAUGCGAACGAAACUAAAAGCAUUGAUUUUGUUUGAUAAAUCUUUGAGGACCGACCGUUCUUUUUUUAUUUUUUUAUCUUUUAUUUUGUCAUCGAGGACCGACCGUGCUAUAUCGACUAACAUGGUUAAAGAAUUAUCCAAUCGGCCCAUAAAGCCCAACAUAUGUGUAACCUAAUCGGUUAUCUUCUUCCUUCAAAAUUACACCGAGGAUAACAACACAUUAAAGAGCAAAAGGUUUUCACGAGC